AUGAGCUGUUUUAAGCUAACCAAGAAGGUUUGUAAAAGCCUUGCUUCCUGUCUAGCUAAGUAUUGGUGGAGCAGCUCCCUCGACCGCAGAUCUUUGCACUGGAAGGCAUGGGACUCUCUAUCAAAGUCGAAAGCGAAGGGAGGGAUGGGUUUUCGGGAUCUUGAGAUGUUCAACACGGCUCUACUCGGGGAACACGGUUGGCGUAUGAUGACAAACCCUAACUCCCUCUAUGCCCGAGUUCUUAAAGGAAGAUACUACCCUACUGGCGACUUUAUGCAAGCCAUAGUUCCUCGCUGCGCCUCAUCAACUUGGCGAGCUAUAAUCGCUGGGAGGGAUGCCUGCAGGUUGGCCUCCUCAAACGCAUAG
RNAcentral lists this ribosomal RNA (366 nucleotides) under Triticum aestivum (bread wheat). RNAcentral describes it as "partial small subunit ribosomal RNA". Lineage: Eukaryota; Viridiplantae; Streptophyta; Magnoliopsida; Poales; Poaceae. The record is from RNAcentral.